UACGGGGGGGGCAAGCGUUGUUCGGAAUUACUGGGCGUAAAGGGCUCGUAGGCGGCCAACUAAGUCAGACGUGAAAUCCCCAGGCUCAACCCAGGAACUGCGUCCGAUACUGGUUGGCUUGAAUCCGGGAGAGGGACGUGGAAUUCCAGGUGUAGCGGUGAAAUGCGUAGAUAUCUGGAGGAACACCGGUGGCGAAGGCGACGUCCUGGACCGGCAUUGACGCUGAGGCGCGAAAGCCAGGGGAGCAAACGGG
This 253-nucleotide ribosomal RNA is filed under the name uncultured bacterium. RNAcentral describes it as "partial 16S ribosomal RNA". It matches the Rfam family "Bacterial small subunit ribosomal RNA", at positions 524 to 776 of the family's 1533-position model. The record is from RNAcentral.